UCCCUGGUGGCUCAGAUGGUAAAGAAUCUGCCUGCAAUGCAGAAAACCCAGGUUCGAUUGCUGGGUUGGGAA
Molecule: transfer RNA, 72 nt
Filed under: Capra hircus (goat)
Lineage: Eukaryota; Metazoa; Chordata; Mammalia; Artiodactyla; Bovidae
Also listed under: 1 other name
Rfam family: tRNA
About the family: Transfer RNA (tRNA) molecules are approximately 80 nucleotides in length. Their secondary structure includes four short double-helical elements and three loops (D, anti-codon, and T loops).
Source: Rfam by way of RNAcentral